RNAcentral lists this ribosomal RNA (400 nucleotides) under uncultured bacterium. RNAcentral's name for it is "bacterial SSU rRNA". It matches the Rfam family "Bacterial small subunit ribosomal RNA", at positions 355 to 771 of the family's 1533-position model. The record is from RNAcentral.
UGAGGAAUAUUGCUCAAUGGGCGCAAGCCUGAAGCAGCGACGCCGCGUGGAUGAAGAAGGUUUUCGGACUGUAAAAUCCUUUUCUGUGUGACGAGAGUGGACGGUAGCACAGGAAUAAGUCUCGGCUAACUACGUGCCAGCAGCCGCGGUAAAACGUAGGAGGCAAGCGUUAUCCGGAGUUACUGGGCGUAAAGCGCGUGUAGGUGGGUUGGUAAGUUACUUAUGAAAGCCCCUGGCUAAACUAGGGGAGGUUGAGUGAUACUGCCAGUCUUGAAUAGAGGAGAGGUUGACGGAAUUCCGCGUGUAGUGGUGAAAUGCGUAGAGAUGCGGAAGAACACCAGUGGCGAAGGCGGUCAACUGGCCUCAUAUUGACACUCAGACGCGAAGGCAUGGGUAGCGA